RNAcentral lists this transfer RNA (72 nucleotides) under Aspergillus novofumigatus IBT 16806. RNAcentral describes it as "Aspergillus novofumigatus (strain IBT 16806) tRNA". It matches the Rfam family "tRNA". Rfam says of the family: Transfer RNA (tRNA) molecules are approximately 80 nucleotides in length. The record is from Rfam by way of RNAcentral. Lineage: Eukaryota; Fungi; Ascomycota; Eurotiomycetes; Eurotiales; Aspergillaceae.
GGCCGAAUGGCGCAAUGGUAGCGCGUUGGUUUUCGGCACCAAAGGUUGCGCGUUCGAAUCGCGUUUCGGUCG